UCUCCCUAGAAUUUCGUGACAGAGGAUUUAUAAGUAUUUGCAAAAGAGCUUCUGAUAUCGGUAGAAGCGCAUCAACUUUUAUAACAAUCUGCUACUUAAUAAAUGAUGAAUUUAGAACUCACAAAAUAUUUCUGAAACUUUUAAGAAACUGUGUCGUAUAAUUGAGGAAACUGCAAUUGCGCCAAAAGUAUUUCUAAAACGUAAACAUUUUAUAUAAAUACUUUAUAAUUUAAUGCAUCUAUUUUAAUAUGGUGGUCGAAAACUUGUUGUACCAAAUUUCUAUCACUACUGCUUGCGUUGCAAUCUUUUCUAUCGCAAUCAUUGCAAUAUGGUUCCAUACAAUAUUCAAGCCAGAUUAUCGACCUGGGAAAUCAUCAAUGCCUUUUCUAUGGUACCAAAUGACAUCUGGCAUUCAUGGCCACUGCAGAAAAGGAAUUGCCAUGGAUGCUACUUAUAUUCGCUAUACUCUGGAUGGAAUGUGCUCAGUGCUGGAUCGCCAGAAAAUAUUCAAUUUAAAUAUAUGAGGAAGAAACUACGUAUUCCUCUUUAAGGCGGACGCAAUUGAGACAAUCCUAAGCAACACUAAAUACAUUAAAAAAUCUCAAGAUUAUGGACCUUUAAAGCCGAUGCUGAUGGAUGGGCUUCU
Non-coding RNA from Parasteatoda tepidariorum (common house spider), 646 nucleotides. The record is from RefSeq and is a predicted model, not a curated record. NCBI's taxonomy places the organism in Eukaryota, Metazoa, Arthropoda, Arachnida, Araneae, Theridiidae.